RNAcentral lists this unclassified non-coding RNA (149 nucleotides) under uncultured Dothideomycetes. RNAcentral describes it as "sequence contains ITS2". The record is from RNAcentral. Lineage: Eukaryota; Fungi; Ascomycota; Dothideomycetes.
GUAACCUCAAGCCUCGCUUGGUAUUGGGCGACGCGGUCCGCCGCGCGCCUCAAAUCGACCGGCUGGGUCUUCUGUCCCCUCAGCGUUGUGGAAACUAUUCGCUAAAGGGUGCCACGGGAGGCCACGCCGAAAAACAAACCCAUUUCUAA